RNAcentral lists this ribosomal RNA (458 nucleotides) under uncultured bacterium. RNAcentral describes it as "bacterial SSU rRNA". It matches the Rfam family "Bacterial small subunit ribosomal RNA", at positions 55 to 507 of the family's 1533-position model. The record is from RNAcentral.
AUGCAAGUCGAACGGCAGCACGGGGGCAACCCUGGUGGCGAGUGGCGAACGGGUGAGUAAUGCAUCGGAACGUGCCCAUCGAUGGGGGAUAACUGCGCGAAAGCGUUGCUAAUACCGCAUACGACCUACGGGUGAAAGCAGGGGACCGCAAGGCCUUGCGUCGAUGGAGCGGCCGAUGCCGGAUUAGCUAGUUGGUGAGGUAAAGGCUCACCAAGGCGACGAUCCGUAGCUGGUCUGAGAGGACGACCCAGCCACACUGGGACUGAGACACGGCCCAGACUCCUACGGGAGGCAGCAGUGGGGAAUCUUGGACAAUGGGCGAAAGCCUGAUCCAGCAAUGCCGCGUGUGGGAAGAAGGCCUUCGGGUUGUAAACCACUUUUGGCGGGAAAGAAAUGGUCUGUGCUAAUACCACGGAUUGAUGACGGUACCCGCAGAAUAAGCACCGGCUAACUACGUG